This 497-nucleotide ribosomal RNA is filed under the name uncultured bacterium. RNAcentral describes it as "partial 16S ribosomal RNA". It matches the Rfam family "Bacterial small subunit ribosomal RNA", at positions 28 to 507 of the family's 1533-position model. The record is from RNAcentral.
GAUGAACGCUGGCGGCGUGCCUAAUACAUGCAAGUCGAGCGAACGGAUGAGAAGCUUGCUUCUCUGAUGUUAGCGGCGGACGGGUGAGUAACACGUGGAUAACCUACCUAUAAGACUGGGAUAACCUCGGGAAACCGGAGCUAAUACCGGAUAAUAUUUUGAACCGCAUGGUUCAAAAGUGAAAGACGGUUUUGCUGUCACUUAUAGAUGGAUCUGCGCUGCAUUAGCUAGUUGGUAAGGUAACGGCUUACCAAGGCAACGAUGCAUAGCCGACCUGAGAGGGUGAUCGGCCACACUGGAACUGAGACACGGUCCAGACUCCUACGGGAGGCAGCAGUAGGGAAUCUUCCGCAAUGGGCGAAAGCUUGACGGAGCAACGCCGCGCGAGUGAUGAAGGUCUUCGGAUCGUAAAACUCUGUUAUUAGGGAAGAACAUAUGUGUAAGUAACUGUGCACAUCUUGACGGUACCUAAUCAGAAAGCCACGGCUAACUACGUG